RNAcentral lists this ribosomal RNA (651 nucleotides) under uncultured bacterium. RNAcentral describes it as "partial 16S ribosomal RNA". It matches the Rfam family "Bacterial small subunit ribosomal RNA", at positions 848 to 1500 of the family's 1533-position model. The record is from RNAcentral.
CAGCUAACGAGUGAAGUAGNCCGCGUGGGGAGUCCGGUCGCAAGANUAAAACUCAAAGGAAUNGNNGGGGACCCGCANCAANCGNUGGAUGAUGUGGAUUAAUUCGAUGCAACGCGACAAACCUUACCUACCNUUGACAUGGCAAGAACCCNUGAGAGAUCANGGGGUGCUCGNAAGAGAANUUGUACACAGGUGCUGCAUGUCUGUCGUCAGCUCGUGUCGUGAGAUGUUGGGUUAAGUCCCGCAACGAGCGCAACCCUUGUCAUUAGUUGUUACGAAAGAGCACUCUAAUGAGACUGCCGGUGACUAACCGGAGGAAGGUGGGGAUGANGUNAAGUCCUNAUGGCCCUUAUGGGUAGGGCUUGACACGUCAUACAAUGGUACAUACAGAGGGCCACCAACCCGNGAGGGGGAGNUAAUNCCAGAAAGUNUAUCNUAGUCCGGAUUGUAGUCUGCAACUCGANNACAUGAAGUUGGAAUCGCUAGUAAUCGCGGAUCAGCAUGUCGCGGUGAAUACGUUCCCGGGUCUUGUACACACCGCCCGUCACACCAUGGGAGCGGGUUUUACCAGAAGUAGGUGAGCUUAACCGCCAAGGAGGGCGCUUACCACGGUAGGAUUCGUGACUGGGGUGAAGUCGUAACCAAGGUACC